Molecule: non-coding RNA, 480 nt
Organism: Elaeis guineensis (African oil palm)
Lineage: Eukaryota; Viridiplantae; Streptophyta; Magnoliopsida; Arecales; Arecaceae
Source: RefSeq, a predicted model, not a curated record
AGAUUAUAGAUCAAGUCUUCUAGGGGCCGAAGCCAUCACAGCCGAGGAGAGAGCUCUAAAGGAGAAAGCUCUCAUGCAGUCAACUCAUAUGGUUUUGCACCAUAUAUACUAUGCAGUUUGGACGACGUGGGGUUACUAGUGACCCCACAAUCAUAUAGAGCAAUACCCGACUCUCAGAGUUAGCGGCAUGGUAGAGGAUCGGUCUAGAUCACGGCACCUUUAACUCGAUCGGAGGAUGGAGAGCUCGUCCACAUUCAGAGCCGUUCAAAGUACAUUUAGAGAGCCUGGGGUGUCUCAUGUAGUUACCGAGAUUAUCCAAUGAUUGAUGUUGGGGCCGAUGAAUAAAUUCUCCAAUUGGCCGUCGGAGGCUCGUGAUGCAGCCUGGGAGAUAUUCCUGAUAAAUCAAAGACGUUUAAUUUUUAAAUUCAUGGUGGAUUUGUAUUCUAUUUAUUAAUACAUGCUUGCUUCUACUUAUAAGAA